AGAGUUUGAUCCUGGCUCAGGACGAACGCUGGCGGCGUGCCUAACACAUGCAAGUCGAGCGAGGACAGAGAAGUAGCAAUACGACUUUGUUCUAGCGGCGGACGGGUGAGUAACGCGUGAGCAACCUGUCCCGAACAGGGGGAUAACGAGCCGAAAGGCUCACUAAUACCGCAUGAGACCACAACGUCACAUGACGAAGGGGUCAAAGGAGAAAUCCGGUUCGGGGUGGGCUCGCGUCUGAUUAGCUAGUUGGUGGGGUAACGGCCUACCAAGGCGACGAUCAGUAGCCGACCUGAGAGGGUGAUCGGCCACAUUGGAACUGAGAGACGGUCCAAACUCCUACGGGAGGCAGCAGUGGGGAAUAUUGGGCAAUGGGCGAAAGCCUGACCCAGCAACGCCGCGUGAAGGAAGAAGGUCUUCGGAUCGUAAACUUCUAUCCCCGGUGAAGAUAAUGACGGUAACCGGGAAGGAAGCCCCGGCUAACUACGUGCCAGCAGCCGCGGUAAUACGUAGGGGGCAAGCGUUGUCCGGAAUGAUUGGGCGUAAAGGGCGCGUAGGCGGCUCGGUAAGUCUGGAGUGAAAUUCCUGCUUUCAAGGUGGGAACUGCUUUGGAUACUGUCGGGCUUGAGUGCAGGAGAGGUAAGUGGAAUUCCCGGUGUAGCGGUGAAAUGCGUAGAGAUCGGGAGGAACACCAGUGGCGAAGGCGACUUACUGGACUGUAACUGACGCUGAGGCGCGAAAGUGUGGGGAGCAAACAGGAUUAGAUACCCUGGUAGUCCACACUGUAAACGAUGAAUGCUAGUGUAGGGGUAUCGACCCCUUCUGGUGCCGGAGUCAACACAAUAGCAUUCGCUGGGGGAGUACGGCCGCAGUGAAACUCAAAGAUGACG
RNAcentral lists this ribosomal RNA (890 nucleotides) under uncultured bacterium. Its description in RNAcentral is "bacterial SSU rRNA". It matches the Rfam family "Bacterial small subunit ribosomal RNA", at positions 8 to 915 of the family's 1533-position model. The record is from RNAcentral.